This is a non-coding RNA of Felis catus (domestic cat), 84 nucleotides long. Lineage: Eukaryota; Metazoa; Chordata; Mammalia; Carnivora; Felidae. The record is from Rfam.
ACCUGGGUAGCUCAGUCGUUAAGCAUCUGACUUCAGUUCAGGUCAUGAUCUCACAAUCUGUGAGUUUGAGCCCCACAUCAGGUG